Molecule: unclassified non-coding RNA, 864 nt
Filed under: Hevea brasiliensis (rubber tree)
Lineage: Eukaryota; Viridiplantae; Streptophyta; Magnoliopsida; Malpighiales; Euphorbiaceae
Source: RNAcentral
AAAGUUUUGGGAUCUCAUUUAUUUGGUAUGGGGAUAGAAGAAUGGAAAGGUGAAUUGAAAAAAUUGAACGGCCAAUCUUUGAAGAAAAUUCAAGACGUUUUGAAAAUAAGUUAUGAUGGGCUAGAGAGGGAUGAAAAGGAAAUAUUUCUUGAUAUUGUAUGUUUCUUCAAUGGUGAAAGAAGAGAUCGUGUAGAGAGAAUAUUAGAAGCAUGUGGUUUCCAUCCAAAAGGUGCAAUACAUCGCCUAAUUAAAAAAUCUCUCAUAAGUAUUUUAGGAAAGUACAUAGAAGUGCAUGACUUGCUACGACAAAUGGGCAAAGAUAUAAUCAUUGAGGAAUGCAAACAGCCUGGAGGACGCAGUAGGUUGUGGAAUAAUGAAGAUAUUUAUCAUGUAUUUGCAACAAAUACGGGAACUGAAAGUGUUGAAGCCAUAGUUCUUAAUCUGUAUUCUACAAUAGAUGAUUUGAAGCUAAGUCCCACGGCCUUCACGAAGAUGUGCAAGCUUAGAAUGCUCAUAUUCAGAUGGUAUGGAAUACCAACAGGACAAGUGCUCCUUCCUAACAACCUUGAAUUUCUUCCACAAGAGCUAAGAUAUCUUGAAUGGCAAUUUUACCCUUGGACAUUUUGGCCAUCAAAUUUUUGCCCAAAGAAUCUCGUAGAACUUCAAAUGAGCAAUAGCAAACUCAGGCAACUAUGGAAUGGAGAUGAGCAUCUUGGAAAUUUGGUAUUACUUAAACUCGUCGGCUCUAAAGACCUGAUCAGGAUUCCAGACUUACCUAAAACUGCCCCAAAUGUUGAGGUUUUAGAUUUGAGUUGGUGUCAUAGUCUGACUGAGAUCCCAUCUCUUCAAAAUCUGAGCAAGCUU